GAUGAACGCUGGCGGCGUGCCUAAUACAUGCAAGUCGAGCGAACGGACGAGAAGCUUGCUUUUCUGAUGUUAGCGGCGGACGGGUGAGUAACACGUGGAUAACCUACCUAUAAGACUGGGAUAACUUCGGGAAACCGGAGCUAAUACCGGAUAAUAUUUUGAACCGCAUGGUUCAAAAGUGAAAGACGGUCUUGCUGUCACUUAUAGAUGGAUCCGCGCUGCAUUAGCUAGUUGGUAAGGUAACGGCUUACCAAGGCAACGAUGCAUAGCCGACCUGAGAGGGUGAUCGGCCACACUGGAACGGAGACGCGGUCCAGACUCCUACGGGAGGCAGCAGUAGGGAAUCUUCCGCAAUGGGCGAAAGCCUGACGGAGCAACGCCGCGUGAGUGAUGAAGGUCUUCGGAUCGUAAAACUCUGUUAUUAGGGAAGAACAUAUGUGUAAGUAACUGUGCACAUCUUGACGGUACCUAAUCAGAAAGCCACGGCUAACUACGUG
Molecule: ribosomal RNA, 497 nt
Filed under: uncultured bacterium
Lineage: Bacteria
Description: partial 16S ribosomal RNA
Rfam family: Bacterial small subunit ribosomal RNA
Source: RNAcentral